AUACGUAGGGGGCGAGCGUUGUCCGGAAUGACUGGGCGUAAAGGGCGUGUAGGCGGCCGAUUAAGUCUGGAGUGAAAGUCCUGCUUUCAAGGCGGGAAUUGCUUUGGAGACUGGUUGGCUUGAGUGCGGAAGAGGUAAGUGGAAUUCCCAGUGUAGCGGUGAAAUGGGUAGAGAAUGGGAGGAACACCAGUGGCGAAGGCGGCUUACUUGGCCGUAGCUGACGCGUAGGCGGGAAAGCGUGGGGAGGGAACAGGAUUAGAUUCCCUGGUAGUCCACGCGGUAAACGGUGAAUGCUAGGUGUAGGUGAUAUCGACCCCUCCUGUGCCGGAGUGAACACAAUAAGCAUGCCGCCGGGGGAGUACGGCCGCAAGGUUGAAACUCAAAGGAAUUGACGGGG
This 397-nucleotide ribosomal RNA is filed under the name uncultured bacterium. RNAcentral describes it as "partial 16S ribosomal RNA". It matches the Rfam family "Bacterial small subunit ribosomal RNA", at positions 523 to 918 of the family's 1533-position model. The record is from RNAcentral.